CAAAGGCAGGCAGGCAGGGGCUGCCAUGGGAAGCCAAUCAGCCAGCCAUGGGAAGAAGGCAGAGACUGUGAUGCCAAUCACCCACAGGAGAAAGACAACAGCCAACUUCUACAGUACCUGGCAGUUGGAACUUGAACACACAGACCUGCAAGCUCAACCUUCAAGAGCAUAUCAUUAGCCCAGUUUCACUGAAGGGAUAACAUGAGAAAUAUAUCAGGUGUGGAUUAAAAGAUUCUUCUGGUAAAGCACCAGAUAAGCAAACAGUGUCACAGUUCCCCACAUGAUGUUCAGGCUGACCCCGCUUGGUUUAGCUUGCUGAAUAGUACAGUUCCCCAAUGCUUUUUUCAACAGCUGACAUGACUGGCCUAGAAACGUUUCUGCGUACCAGCAAUACAUGACA
Molecule: long non-coding RNA, 400 nt
Organism: Phasianus colchicus (ring-necked pheasant)
Lineage: Eukaryota; Metazoa; Chordata; Aves; Galliformes; Phasianidae
Source: RefSeq, a predicted model, not a curated record